UAGCUUGACACUGAACAUUGAGCCUUGAUGUGUAGGAUAGGUGGGAGGCUUUGAAGUGUGGACGCCAGUCUGCAUGGAGCCGACCUUGAAAUACCACCCUUUAAUGUUUGAUGUUCUAACGUUGGCCCCUAAUCGGGGUUGCGGACAGUGUCUGGUGGGUAGUUUGACUGGGGCGGUCUCCUCCUAAAGAGUAACGGAGGAGCACGAAGGUUGGCUAAUCCUGGUCGGACAUCAGGAGGUUAGUGCAAUGGCAUAAGCCAGCUUGACUGCGAGCGUGACGGCGCGAGCAGGUGCGAAAGCAGGUCAUAGUGAUCCGGUGGUUCUGAAUGGAAGGGCCAUCGCUCAACGGAUAAAAGGUACUCCGGGGAUAACAGGCUGAUACCGCCCAAGAGUUCAUAUCGACGGCGGUGUUUGGCACCUCGAUGUCGGCUCAUCACAUCCUGGGGCUGAAGUAGGUCCCAAGGGUAUGGCUGUUCGCCAUUUAAAGUGGUACGCGAGCUGGGUUUAGAACGUCGUGAGACAGUUCGGUCCCUAUCUGCCGUGGGCGCUGGAGAACUGAGGGGGGCUGCUCCUAGUACGAGAGGACCGGAGUGGACGCAUCACUGGUGUUCGGGUUGUCAUGCCAAUGGCACUGCCCGGUAGCUAAAUGCGGAAGAGAUAAGUGCUGAAAGCAUCUAAGCACGAAACUUGCCCCG
Molecule: ribosomal RNA, 695 nt
Filed under: Escherichia coli
Lineage: Bacteria; Pseudomonadati; Pseudomonadota; Gammaproteobacteria; Enterobacterales; Enterobacteriaceae
Description: partial 23S ribosomal RNA
Rfam family: Bacterial large subunit ribosomal RNA
Source: RNAcentral